UACGUAGGUGACAAGCGUUGUCCGGAUUUACUGGGCGUAAAGAGCGCGCAGGCGGUCGUUCAAGUCGAGUGUGAAAGCCCCCGGCUCAACUGGGGAGGGUCAUUCGAUACUGAUCGACUGGAAGGCAGGAGAGGGGAGCGGAAUUCCCGGUGUAGUGGUGAAAUGCGUAGAUAUCGGGAGGAACACCAGUGGCGAAGGCGGCUUCCUGGCCUGUUCUUGACGCUGAGGCGCGAAAGCUAGGGGAGCAAACGGG
This 253-nucleotide ribosomal RNA is filed under the name uncultured bacterium. RNAcentral's name for it is "partial 16S ribosomal RNA". It matches the Rfam family "Bacterial small subunit ribosomal RNA", at positions 524 to 776 of the family's 1533-position model. The record is from RNAcentral.